Molecule: ribosomal RNA, 512 nt
Filed under: uncultured bacterium
Lineage: Bacteria
Description: bacterial SSU rRNA
Rfam family: Bacterial small subunit ribosomal RNA
Source: RNAcentral
CUGGUUUUGAAAUGUUGAUGACCGGUGUGGAAACACAGCCUUUCCUUCGGGACACCAUCACAGGUGGUGCAUGGGUGUCGUCAGCUCGUGUCAUGAGAUGUUGGGUUAAGUCCCGCAACCAGCGCAACCCCUGUCCUAUGUUGCCAGCAUUUAUUUGGGGACUCAUGGGAUACUGCCGGAGACAAACCUGAGGAAGGAGGGGACAACGUCUAUUCAUCAUGCCCCUUAUGUCCAGGGCUGCACACCUGCUACAUUGGCCCGCACAGAGGGAAGCAAUGCCUGGAGGCGGAGCAAAUCCCACAAAGCGCGUCUCGCUUCCUAUUGGAGGCUGCAAUUCGCCUCCAUGAAGUUAGAUUUGCUAUUAAUCCCGGAUCAACAACACCGCGGUGAAUACUCUUCCCGGGACUUGUACACACCUCCCGUCACACCACGAAAACGACGCAACACCCACAAGCCGGUGAGCUAACCCUUUUGGAAGGCAGCCUUCCAACGUGGGGCUCGUGAUUGGGGUG